This 1351-nucleotide long non-coding RNA is filed under the name Zonotrichia albicollis (white-throated sparrow). RNAcentral's name for it is "lncRNA (ENSZALG00000000512.1)". The record is from RNAcentral. Lineage: Eukaryota; Metazoa; Chordata; Aves; Passeriformes; Passerellidae.
CAGGGUGUCCCCAAAGUGUCCCCAAAGUGUCCCCUCCCCUGGACCCCACCCCAUGGUCAGUGAUGGGAUUGGGAUGGGGCUGGGAAUGGGAAUUCACUCAGGGCUGACCCCAAAGCCCCCCCCGAAGCCCCCCUGCCCCCUUUUGCCUCCAAAGAAAAGGGAUGGAAUCAUCACCACUCCCCCAAAAAUCCCUUUGGGCUGAAAUCCCCGAAUCCCAAGGGAUUUGUGAGGGGAAAAUCCACCUCAGACUCCCUGUGGAUGAGGAGGUGAGGGGUUCAGCACUCCCCACCAGCCCAAAAGGUGCCAUUCCCACCCAUCCCUCCCAGGAACUCCAGUGCAGCCAGGCUGGUGAGGGAGGGCUGUAUUUGUGGUGGCACACGGUGACAGCGAGGGUGGCACCGACCCCGGCACCCCCGAGGUGCAAACCAGGAGGAAUCCAUGUAAAAAUAGAGGGAAUAUUUACACACAGCAUCCUUUAAAAAGCUGGCAUGUGGGGUGGGAACUCCAGGGCUAGAACACGGCCCAGGGCUGGGUUUAGGGACUCCAGCACGUCACAGCCUCACCCCAAAGCUACUCCUCAAUCCCUGGGGUCCCCUGAGCAGCCUCUGUCCCCUCCCCUCUCCUCCUGCUUCCACAAAAACAUUUUUUCCUUAUUUUUUUUUUCCUCAGGAAUCCUCUCCCUGAGGCUCAGGCAGGUCAGGCCUUGACCCUGCAUCCCUUUCCCCCAAACACCUUUUCCCUACACCUGCUGCUGCAACUUCAAGCGUUAAAUACAGCAUUUAUGGUUAAAUGGGAUCCCAUUCCUUUUGAAAACCAGCUUGGGGAGCAGCCAGGGCAGCAUUCCCAGCCCAGGGAGCUUUGGGAUGAGCUUUGGGAUCAGCUGUGCUCUUCCAAGAGCAGCAUCCCCAUCCCUGUGACCUUUGGGAUGAGCUCUGCUCCUCUGCUGCCCCCAAACCCCAAAGCCCUGGACAGGCAGAACCCGGCUGGGAGCUCAGCUGGGCCUUUCCCAGGGAGCAGAGAGGGGACACAGGAGCAGGGCAGUGACAAAGGUGGGGACUGCCACCCCUUUGGCAGCACUCAGGGAGUCCUUCCCCUCCUUCCCUCCCAGAACGAGCAGCGAUGAGUGAGGAAAAGCCAGCAGGAAAAGCCCUCUGUUGGACAGACAGACUGACAGACUGACAGUCAGUGUCUGUGCCCCCUCUCACACCUUGCCCCGGGGCUCAGAAGUCGCUGAGGAUGCUGAUGUCGGCGAACUCGGCGCGGUACCGGUGCGAGUAGAGGCUCAGCAGCAGCGCCCACUUGAGCGCCAUGAAGCUCCACACGCAGGACAGGUAAUAGCUCUUGGGGUCAG